AACGAACGCUGGCGGCAUGCCUAACACAUGCAAGUCGAACGAGACCUUCGGGUCUAGUGGCGCACGGGUGCGUAACGCGUGGGAACCUGCCCUUAGGUUCGGAAUAACUCCCCGAAAGGGGUGCUAAUACCGGAUAAUGUCUUCGGACCAAAGACUUAUCGCCUUUGGAUGGGCCCGCGUUGGAUUAGCUAGUUGGUAGGGUAAAAGCCUACCAAGGCGAUGAUCCAUAGCUGGGCUGAGAGGAUGAUCAGCCACACUGGGACUGAGACACGGCCCAGACUCCUACGGGAGGCAGCAGUGGGGAAUAUUGGACAAUGGGCGAAAGCCUGAUCCAGCAAUGCCGCGUGAGUGAUGAAGGCCUUAGGGUUGUAAAGCUCUUUUACCCGGGAUGAUAAUGACAGUACCGGGAGAAUAAGCUCCGGCUAACUCCGUG
RNAcentral lists this ribosomal RNA (433 nucleotides) under uncultured bacterium. Its description in RNAcentral is "partial 16S ribosomal RNA". It matches the Rfam family "Bacterial small subunit ribosomal RNA", at positions 29 to 507 of the family's 1533-position model. The record is from RNAcentral.